GAAAAAUAUUAAAAAUUGAUAAGAGCCAGGUAGAAUGCUUCUUUUAUAAGAAGCUGGGUCAUUAGAAGAGGAAUUAUCCUAUUUAUAUAGCCACUUUUGAUCCGAACAGGCCUAAGAACAAGAAAAAAAGCAAACGAUUGCUUCACAAGGUACUUAUAUGUAACUCCUUGAAUUUUUCUAUUUGUGAUACUACUAUCUGAGUAUUGGAUAUCGAAAGUCC
This 220-nucleotide long non-coding RNA is filed under the name Elaeis guineensis (African oil palm). RNAcentral's name for it is "long non-coding RNA (EGUI_LNC063879)". The record is from RNAcentral. Lineage: Eukaryota; Viridiplantae; Streptophyta; Magnoliopsida; Arecales; Arecaceae.